GAUGAAGAACGCAGCGAAAUGCGAUACGUAAUGUGAAUUGCAGAUUUCAGUGAAUCAUCGAAUCUUUGAACGCACAUUGCGCCCGCUAGUAUUCUGGCGGGCAUGCCUGUUCGAGCGUCAUUUCAACCAUCAAGCCCUAGGCUUGCGUUGGAGCCCUGCGGCUGCCGCAGGCUCCCAAAUCCAGUGGCGGGCUCGUCGUCGUACCGAGUGCAGUAAACAUCCUCGCUCAGGGAACGUGACGGGUUCUUGCCGUGAAACCCCCCACAUAUCAGGGUUGACCUCGGAUCAGGUAGGAAUACCCGCAGAACUUAAGCAUAUCAAUAAGCGGAGGA
RNAcentral lists this unclassified non-coding RNA (332 nucleotides) under soil metagenome. Its description in RNAcentral is "partial contains 5.8S ribosomal RNA, internal transcribed spacer 2, and large subunit ribosomal RNA". The stretch from base 1 to 120 matches the Rfam family "5.8S ribosomal RNA", at positions 35 to 154 of the family's 154-position model. The record is from RNAcentral.